UUGAAAGGGAAACGAUUGAAGUCAGUCGUACCUGCGGGAUAAUCAGCCUUUCGAGUAUGAUUCUGUGGAGUGUAAGGAGUUUAACCGUCUUCAUACCUGCAUAUUCGCGCGCUUUGGGUGUACUUGUCCGUAUGGUAGGUUAACAUCAAUUUUGGUCGUUAUAAAAUGACUAGGGGAAUGUAGCUUUGAUCCCGUAUUGAAGUGUUAUAGCCUCUGGUAAAUGCAGUGACUAGGAUUGAGGAUUGCAACGGAUACCUUUCGGGGCUACUCGUCUAAUCUCUGGAAGUUACUUUGGUACUAAAAGCUUGCUUAUGGUUAUCGAAGUUGACGGUCAAUAGGUUAGAACGAGUUAAAUUCGUUAAGGAUGUUGACGUA
This 375-nucleotide ribosomal RNA is filed under the name uncultured Glomeromycotina. RNAcentral's name for it is "LSU rRNA". Lineage: Eukaryota; Fungi; Glomeromycota. The record is from RNAcentral.